GCAAUAGCCUCGCUCCUCCCUGCCUGGGGGUCUGAUCCUGCCCCUGCCGGGGUGAUGCUGAGUCCCCCGAAUCCACCCCUCUCCCUCUCCCACAGGGUGCCGAUGGCCAGCCUGGUGCUAAAGGUGAAACUGGGGAUGCUGGAGCCAAGGGUGAUGCCGGUCCCCCCGGCCCUGCUGGCCCCACUGGUGCUCCUGGACCUGCUGUAAGUUCUCCCAACCCACCCCAGACCCCCUUGGGGUACAGUCCCAUGGCACAGCUCACUCCUCACCUCCUCCUCUUCCUCCUCUUCCUCCCCCACAGGGUGCUGUUGGUGCUCCUGGUCCCAAAGGUGCUCGCGGAAGCGCCGGACCCCCUGGUGCUACUGGUUUCCCUGGUGCUGCUGGACGAGUUGGACCCCCCGGCCCCUCUGUGAGUACCCCCAGGGGUGAGAGGUGUGGGGGCCGGGAGGGUGCCUGUGAUGGGGAAUACGGGAGGUGCUGGGCACCCAUCCAGGCUGCUCCAUGUGGCCUCCCUGUCCCAUCUGGCACCGGGAUACCCCUGGCCGCCCUUCAGCUGGCAG
This 560-nucleotide long non-coding RNA is filed under the name Manacus vitellinus (golden-collared manakin). RNAcentral's name for it is "lncRNA (ENSMVIG00005005409.1)". Lineage: Eukaryota; Metazoa; Chordata; Aves; Passeriformes; Pipridae. The record is from RNAcentral.